UGGUGCCAGCAGCCGCGGUAAUUCCAGCUCCAAUAGCGUAUAUUAAAGUUGUUGCAGUUAAAAAGCUCGUAGUUGAAUUUCGGGAUCAAUAUGUUGGUCGUGCCAUUGGUACGUACUGGUAUCAUUGAUCUCUCCUUUCUGACGAACCAUGAUGUCAUUAAUUUGGUGUUAUGGGGAGUUAGGACUGUUACUUUGAAAAAAUUAGAGUGUUUAAAGCAGGCAUUAGCUUGAAUACAUUAGCAUGGAAUAAUGAAAUAGGACGUUUGACCCUAUUUUGUUGGUUUCUAGGAUCGACAUAAUGAUUAAUAGGGAUAGUUGGGGGCAUUAGUAUUCAAUUGUCAGAGGUGAAAUUCUUGGAUUUAUUGAAGACUAACUACUGCGAAAGCAUUUGCCAAGGAUGUUUUCAUUAAUCAAGAACGAAAGUUAGGGGAUCGAAGACGAUCAGAUACCGUCGUAGUCUUAACCAUAAACUAUGCCGACUAGGGAUCGGAUGAUGUUAAUUUUUUAAUGACUCA
Molecule: ribosomal RNA, 515 nt
Filed under: uncultured Glomus
Lineage: Eukaryota; Fungi; Glomeromycota; Glomeromycetes; Glomerales; Glomeraceae
Description: SSU rRNA
Rfam family: Eukaryotic small subunit ribosomal RNA
Source: RNAcentral